This 497-nucleotide ribosomal RNA is filed under the name uncultured bacterium. RNAcentral describes it as "partial 16S ribosomal RNA". It matches the Rfam family "Bacterial small subunit ribosomal RNA", at positions 28 to 507 of the family's 1533-position model. The record is from RNAcentral.
GAUGAACGCUGGCGGCGUGCCUAAUACAUGCAAGUCGAGCGAACAGACGAGGAGCUUGCUCCUCUGACGUUAGCGGCGGACGGGUGAGUAACACGUGGAUAACCUACCUAUACGACUGGGAUAACUUCGGGAAACCGGAGCUAAUACCGGAUAAUAUAUUGAACCGCAUGGUUCAAUAGUGAAAGACGGUUUUGCUGUCACUUAUAGAUGGAUCCGCGCCGCAUUAGCUAGUUGGUAAGGUAACGGCUUACCAAGGCAACGAUGCGUAGCCGACCUGAGAGGGUGAUCGGCAACACUGGAACUGAGACACGGUCCAGACUCCUACGGGAGGCAGCAGUAGGGAAUCUUCCGCAAUGGGCGAAAGCCUGACGGAGCAACGCCGCGUGAGUGAUGAAGGUCUUCGGAUCGUAAAACUCUGUUAUUAGGGAAGAACAAAUGUGUAAGUAACUAUGCACGUCUUGACGGUACCUAAUCAGAAAGCCACGGCUAACUACGUG